CGCUACUUACUACACUUUCCGGCUUCUGUUAAAAUAAGGUGGCCUGUGAAGUCUAUAAAGGGAAUCAAUCGCUAAAAAAAACAAUUUGGCUAGUUUUAUAGUCAAAUUGAUGAGUUAUAGUUGUAUAAGUGGCGACUAGCGGCAAGGUGAGGGUGUUGUGUGGAGUAAACAGGAGAGUGGGAGGCUGAGGCGGCUGUCUUCCCUCCAUCCUUGUGUCAUCUUGCAGCAACCCUCCUCUCUAACUACCUACACUAAGACUACCAACACACGGGUUUGGUACUAAAAUCUAUCUUCAGUCAUAAAGAAGAGGAACAACAUGACUUGCAUUUGCAUUUUUGAUGGUCAAGUGGCAUCUGUUCAUGACAGCUUGUGAAUGUUGUUAACAAUUUAGGAGAUACAGAAUGCUGUUGAUUACCAAGAUAAGGACUGGAAGAACAUAGGGCAAAGGAUUUGAAAAUUGAAGUGUGUUCAGUAUAUAUCUGCUGCAGUGCAUAUAAAAGACACAGCUGAUCUUCAGCAGCACUAAGGUCAAGUGGAGCAGUAAGGCAAAUCUUAUUCCAAGAAUUGUCAUACAAUACAGUAUAAUGGAAGAAGGAAAUGCAUUCCCGUGUGAGGAUUGUAAUCAACAGUUCUCUUUUCAGUGGGAAUAUAGGAGACAUAUGUUGGAACACACAUGUUAUAGAAUCUUUGCAUGUGAGGUAUGUGACAAGGUAUUUACAAAUUCUUGGGUUCUUAGCAUACAUAUGCUAUUGCAUAGUGGCAGGAAGAAGUUUAAGUGUGGAAAAUGUAAAGAACUUUUUACAUCAAGAACAAGUCUUGGAAAACACAUGCUUGUGCACACAGGCAAUGAUAAAAGUUUUGUGUGUGAAGAAUGCAAUGAACGGUUCAGCUGUAAGAGCCAUCUCAAGAAGCACAUGGAAGCACAUUUAAAAAAAUAUAAAUGUGAAAAAUGUGACAGGCAAUUUAGACGAGAAAAUGCCUUCAAGAUGCACGCGUGCUUUCCAACUAGAAAGGUUAAUUGUGAGGUCUUAUCUGAGGAGACACGUAUGUCCAGUGUAGUGUCUGAAGAUGGAGAUGAAAGUAAUGAGAAGCUUUUUGAAUGUAAUGAAUGUGGAGAAGUAUUCACUGAUAAGAAGUACAUUAGGGAACAUGUACUUGUUCAUUUUCAUGAUGGAAAUUUUGAAUGCAAUGAAUGUGGAAAAUUAUUCAGCAGUAAGGAGCAUAUGAAGCAACAUAAGUUGACUCAUAAUAGUAAACAAAAAAUUCCAUGUAAAGUGUGCGGAAAACUCUUCACUCAUAAAAAAUACGUAAAGGCACACAUGGCUGUUCAUGGCAAGAUAAACAAAUAUUAUGGAAAGAUUGGCAAAGGAAUAAUUUCAAGAAAAAGUUCUCAGGGUACUUCAUACUCAAAAAAAUAAAUUGCGUGUGAAGUUUGGAAUAAGUUACUAGUGACAUAAAACAUCAUGUAUAUAAAGAACAAUUAAGGACACUUAAGACAAGCUGUAUCACACAGGAUUCAGGUGACAUACAACCGGGAGAGCGUAGCAGGAGCCAACAACUGUGAUAAAUACCACUUUAGUUACUCAUUUGCUGAUGCAAAUUGGAUCUUGUAAAGUUGCAAGCUUAGAUCAGUUGGUGUUGUAAGAUAUGUGAGUAAGACUGCAGUCAUGAAAAAUAGGCAACAGAAAACAGUGAAGAUGAUGAUUGAUGUUUUAAGCAAACAGAUUUUAGGUACAGUUUUCAUUAAAUGCAGUUGUUUGGAUAUUGUGAAGCUGGUGAGGUUCUUAGACAAGGAGUUUAGGAGUAGAUAAGUACAAGGAGAAGGAAUAUGUUUGCUUAGAGCUUUAAUCUAAAAUAUAGCCUAUAGUUAGAACAGAAUAGUUGGCAGUACAGUGGUGCAAAGGAAUUCAUGUGGAAGUGAAUGAGAUUAAGAAUGGACUGUGUGAGGAAUUGUAAAGGAAAUACAAGAUGCUUGAGGAAGACUGUUGGGAAUAUGAGAAAUGUAGAGUAAUCUGGUGCAUGAAACAAGAAAAAUUAGAGGGUCCAACAUUAUUUGAGUUAAUCUUAACACCAGGCUGGAAUGUUCACGAACAAAAUGGUAUGUUUAUACUCAAAUGUACAAUCGUGUCUCAAAUGAAAUUUGGUUCAGUUGAAAUCAAGAUGAAAUGAAAGGAUCAACAGUUAAUUGAGCUUUUAUCUGGGUUACGUAGGUUAUAUGUCUGGAUUAAGAAGGAAGUACUGUACAGAUACAGUAGCUAGUUGGGAUUUGUGGUGCCAAUAAACAUAAAAAUAUAAACCAAAAAAAUUCAUAUUCUAGUACAGUAUGUUAGAAAUAUUUUUGUAUGUAAUUUAUGUAUCAAAAUGUGCAAAUAUGUGUUCUCAAAUUUUGCUAGUAAUUAAUUGACACAAUUCCUGUGACUGCUAAUAGAGCAAUUUGUGCAAUGUAAGCACUGGUUACAAAAAAUACAGUAAGAUUUAAUGCAGCCAGAGGCCUACAUGUAGGAAUAGCAAUGCCAAGUCUUACGUAUGAUUGGAAGAUGAUGUGCUAUAAAUAUAAAAAUGAAUAGAAGUGGAUAACUUAAGAGUCAUGUGUGGUGUUAGGAUAGUAUAUAGAAUAAGAAAUGAAACUGCCAUGGAUAGAUGUGCAAUGCUAAAAUUAAUAAACUGCAAGAUUGAAGAGAGUAUUCUGAGGUGGUUUGAGCAUGUUGAACGAAUGAUAGAUAGGUGAACAGUGCAUUUGAGAGUUUGUGGGUAAAGCGAGAGAAAUACCUGGAAGGAGAUGGGCAGACACAGUGAACAAGUGUGGCCAACACACGAGAUAUGGGUGCAAAAUGUUUACGAGAAGUGACCUUUCCCCGCUAAUCUCCAUGAUGGCUAUGUUGUCACAGUGAUGGUCCUUGGGUGCUUUGUUUGAGCUUAGUAGGCUCUAUUGGCGAGUGCCUUCGAGUGCCUGCUGGGGGAGAAGCAGGACCAAAACUGUAUGUAGUUUUGACAUGCAUAUGUUUGACAUGGAGACCCAUAUGGUUCUCAUUUCACUUCAAUUGAAAGUUGAACCUUCUCAGUGGCUGUGGCUCAUGGAAGGGCAACGUACUUCUUUGGUGAAAAGAAGGAUAAAAUUUUAAGUUCAGUGGUUUUCCACUGAAUCAGUCUGCUAGUCUUGCAAGAGGGCCUUGCUGGACUUGAGUCCAAUGGGUCGUUACAUAUCAAUUGCCUGCAAACUGAAUUCUCCAAGACCCCUUACCUUACUCUUUGUCUUGCUGAAUUCCUCCUGGGGUGCAGUUAGGUAAUCAUUCCUCCCUAGUAUUGUUUAAAUUUGAAUAUGGAUGCCCUGCAUAUUUGUCAGCUUCACCUUUGACUCUUCAUUAUCUUGAUACUAUAUAUUAUAUUGGCUUGUACCUUAGCACAGGAGCCUUUUAUUCUUCCCCAACCUAUAAGCCUAUGUGUAGAAACUGGUGUUCGAUUGUUAUACGACUGCCACAGUUAGUAUUCCCUCCAAUACUUUUGUGAACCUUCCAAAGCUCUCAUUCAUACUUGUACAGCACCUUGACUGCUAUACCCCAUUGACACCUCUACUCCCUUUGCAGCCUCAUGGUACAUGUACUGUAAUAUCUGGUUAGUGGCUUCUUUCUGUGUACAUUCACAAUGUGUCCCAUCAUAUUGCACCUAUUUUAUCUCAUGCGUGGGGUUUGUUAGAUUUGAUAAAGUGCUAACAUGUACAGUGAAGGCUUCUACUCCUCGUACUGCCCUGAAAUGUUUUUUUCUUAAACAUCUUCACUAACAUUAGGACUAUACUGUUUACUGAUGGUUGAAAUCUGCUAUGGCAUUAGCUUUUCCAUUACUUUUCCUGAUUAAAUCUUUGUGUUGCCUCCCCUCAGUGACAGGUAUUUUUUGCAGCAGAACUUAGUGAAAUUUUUUAUUGCAAAGACAAUUACAAUUCAUGCACCAAUAUUCUUUUUUUUAAUGUGGUAGAGACUUGCAGUGCUCUCAUGGCCCUAGAGUUUUAACCCUUCACAUCUCAUGGUGAUUGAAAUCCAAUAUUGGUUGUACCUAAUCUUUAGCAGAUAUACAGGAGCUAAGUUUUGCUGUAUUCUAAAUACUAAAGAGGCCAUUCAUGUCUGUCCUAACUUCCAGAAGUGAGUUUCUUACUUUGAUAUCUAUCCUAUCAUUAUGACAUUCGCAACUGUUAGAGAGAGAGAGGGUUUACUUCUGAUUUUUUUUCUUAGAAAAUUAUCUACAAUUAAAUGUAACUUAAUCCUGUGACCUUCCUCUUAUCACUAACAGGAAAUGGGAGACAUCUCUGGCUAGGUUGUGUAAUGAUCACAAACACUUUAUGAAAGAGACCUACACCUUGCUGUUAGAACUGCAUUGUCCCGCUGACGGUCGUUCACCUCCUCGUAGAAUGUCCUGAUUUUCAGAAUGAUUGGAAAUCUUAUUUUCCCCAAUGUUCACAAUAAUGCAGACGAUGAGUCACAAUAACGUGGCUGAAGAUCUGAUGACCAAACUGUGUGUCAGAAGAUGGGAGAAACGUCGUUUCUCCAUUUUCUGAUGUGUGGUUUGGUCAUAUCUAUAGCAUUUCACAAGGAGGACCGGACACUUAGACCUAUGAAGUGAUGGGGGGAGUGUUGCCGUUUAUGAUUACUGGAGUGUGGUAGUCCUUUAUCUAUGAUGCUAUAUGUCGUACAAUACUAUAUUGUGAAUGAUAAAUGAUUGAAUGAUAUUUUUAAUUAUAUAUUAUUUUAUACUUGUAUCUCUGCUUAUUUUACUAUCAUACUGUAUUUGUGUUCAUCAUUUGACUUAGGGAGGCAUCAACUCAGAGUGGGGAAAACACAGGGUAUUGAUAAUGUAUGUGUAAAAAUAGCAGAAAACAACAAAUAUUUUGCAAUGGAAGGCUAUGAAACUAAUUAAUUAGGAUAAUUAACCCCUGCACUGUGCACCUGUUUUGGGUAAAAAUUUCAUGUUGCAGUUAAGGAUAUUUUUGUUGUUUUUAUAAAUAUUUAAGUAAUGUUAAUGUCUAAAUGUUUCCAAACUCAACCAUUUUCAUUUCAAAUCACAAUGAUGAAAACAUUAACAAACAAAAUAUGGCCUAAUUAAAAAAAAAAUCAUCCAAGCGCCUUAAAGCGCUCUGCGCAGUUAAGUGGCUAAGACAACAUUGUACAGUUCGGUUAUAAUAUGGUAUUCUAGGUUUUUCUGCCAUUGUUUUUUGCUGUAGAGAGCCGAGUAUUAAAAAUGGUACAGUAUGUGCUGUACUUCUAUUUACAAUGCUAUAGCGAAGGUGGAUGCCGUGUGCAAUGCAUCUGAGGUCAUGGGAAAUCAAACAUGGUGGCUACACAUAUAUCAAAUACCUGUUUUUGUGCUUUCUUCUGAAACAUUACAUUUAUAUUAUUCUGUUUCCACACAGUACAGUCCUCAAUGUACCUGUAUUUAAGUAAUACAAGGAAGUACUGUAUAUACAAAUGGUAAUCAUUUGUGUAUGUAGACCUGGUAUUAUUUUACCUAGAGCUAAGGUUGGAGCAAAGUUUGGGAACAAUAGCUAUUUUCUGUACCGUGGAAACAUGAGCAGUGAGAAAAUACCACUAGCCAGGAACAGCAACUGUUAUGCUCUCUGAACACUCAUUAUUUAAGAAACAUUGUCAGUAUUUUCAGGCAUUUGUCAAGGCCUGUGCUAAGAUUAUUAUUUCAAUUCUGUGGAAAUGCAGCUUGAGGUUAUGUGCAGUGUAUAAAAAGAAUUUGAUAGAGCAAUGACUAAACUGUGUACAGUAUUAAGGAAUUAUUGUCACAGUUGGCUCAUUACCAAGAUAUGUUCUGGUGGUACGUAGUUAAUUUUCUGCUGUGUUCAAAAUUAUGACCCAGAAUAAUCACUGAAUAAUACAGAUGUAUAUGUAAUUGUAAUGAUGUACUCUAUAUGUAAUUGUAAUGUUUGUAAGACAAAAUUAUGAAUGUACAGUAUGAAAAAAUACACAAAAAAAAAUAAAAUUGCUUAUACUUAAGACUCCUGACUGAAAUGAUUUACCACAAAAUUUAGUAUAUAUGUAUAUAUUGUAGCAGUUAUUAUUAAGAAACUUUGAGAUGACAUCUUU
Molecule: long non-coding RNA, 6077 nt
Organism: Procambarus clarkii (red swamp crayfish)
Lineage: Eukaryota; Metazoa; Arthropoda; Malacostraca; Decapoda; Cambaridae
Source: RefSeq, a predicted model, not a curated record